Long non-coding RNA from Culex pipiens pallens (northern house mosquito), 1738 nucleotides. RefSeq lists it as uncharacterized. The transcript has 2 exons. The record is from RefSeq and is a predicted model, not a curated record. NCBI's taxonomy places the organism in Eukaryota, Metazoa, Arthropoda, Insecta, Diptera, Culicidae.
AAGAAAGUAUCCAUGAUUAGGUUAAAAAAAUUUUGCACUAGCAUUUUGUUGAGGAUUUCUGAACGUUCGCUGGAGACCGGAGUGAAGACGUUGAUGGUCAGUAACAAGCAUUUUCUGUGAUGGAUCAUGACUUGGAAAUAGAGAUGGAGGUUACUUGUAACCGAUGAUCAUAAAUGACCCCGAACUGUUGAAGAAUCUUUCGCAAAUUGUUUUUAGUGAAAUUUAAAUAUAUUUGUAGUAUUUUUUUGUUUUUUUUUUGUGUGGUUCCUCCUUGUUUUUUCGUAUGAUUUCCCCUUACGAAAAUUCAGUUCUUUAUAAACUGAAUUUUCGUAAUUUAAGCAUGGAGUGAUGUAACAGUUGCACUUGUUAGCAGUUAUUUAUUUAUUUAUUUCGGUUUUUCCGUUCGUCUUUAAAUGUAAUUCGAUCUCCGUUACCACGGUAAUCAAUGUAGGUGAUGUUAGCCCUCACGAUCGUUGGUAACUAUCGUUACUGGUUUAAGACCUGGAGAGAGAAUUUCGCUGAGGUCGCUCAUAUGUUGAAUCCUUCGGGAAGACGGAAAGGGACGGUCAGAGCCAUUGCCGACCGCUAGAGUGGGACGGGAACUCAGAUCUUUAAAGAUCCGAAGAAGCCCGAGGCAAUCUCCGGGAAACGACGUACCAAAAGUACGUCUGGGGCCACUUUCCCCGUUCUGAGGAACCUAGUACUCGUUCACUUUGUCCCAGACCUUUGUGAAGUGUGGAGUGCGCGGACUUUUAUCCCGGGUUCCCCUGUCCAGUCCUGAGAUCUCGUCGAAGUUAGAAGUUUGUGUGUGCGAAGAAGUUAGCCUAGUGCGCGGCCUAGCUAGAGAUCAGGUAAACCGUUACCCCGUGCGAAUUAUCCCCGUGCAUGUGCUAACCUCAUUCGCGAAAUUCGAAGGCUUCGCUUCUCUCGCCCUACCAGCUAAGCAGCACCAGAAGGAGAUCGAGCGCGCGUCCACCACCGCCCCGCAUCGAGUGUGGGACAAGUUUUGACCCGGCACACGCUACAUCGCCGGAAGAGACGAGCCGUCAACAUCUCGUCUGGAGGCGGUCCAUCCACCCACGUGCUGGCCCGGAAAGCCAAGUCCCGGCCCGCGCAACAUCAUCGAAGUCGACCGCGCAACCGCAGGUCGAACCGACAUCGUCGUCCACGUCGGCUACGAGCACGCGGCGAGGAACCGCAGCAGCAGCAUCAUCAAGUAACAGGAGCAGCAGUCCGGUGAGUCCGUUCUUUUUCUGCGGGUGAAGGGUGACGGCCACAGAAGGCGUCACGAACGUUUUUCCGUUCCGGCUGCGGCCGUAGAGCGGACGCCAUUUUGAUGGAGGGCGUCCAUUUUGUUUAAGCGCGUGUUGCCAUGCGCUCGGAGUGUGACGGCUUUUAUUGACACGCCCCACACGUCCACGAAACAGCACUUUAGUGCCUUUUGUCUGCCGCAGUCCGCUUGACUGCCGGUGACGUCAGCGAUCAGCUGUUCCAGCUGACGAGCUGAAGAUUUGAGGAGAGAGCACAAAAGCACGGGGUAACAGAAGAACGAAGAGUAGACAGUAGGGAGAGCAAACGCACACAGUAGGGAGAUGUCUAGACGCUAGAACAGAACAAUGAAUGAAAUACACAAAUGUUAGACUAGUCCAAUAAACGAGCACCUCUUUUUGAUUCCCUGCCAACUAAAUUAUGAGUGAUUAUUUUGGAGAUCAAUAAAAGUCCCUGCAGUUAAAAUGAG